CCGACCAUAGCAAGAACAAAGGAAGAAAAGAAGAACACAAACCCUAGGUGGAAAAAUUCAUGGGAAAAGUGUGAAAAUUCAAGUAAUCAAGCAAUCAAAGGUAAAAUUUCUUGAUUUUGACUUGUGAUCUACCUUUCCCAUGCAUUAUUUUGCAUUUUUCAUGGUUGAAUCACAAGAUAUCAUGAAGGAUUCAUUGCUGACCGAAUUUAGAGAGAGAGGAUUUGAUGGUUGUUUUGGUUAGAUUUUAAGAUAUUCUAGUGUUUUUAGUUAGUUGGUGAUGUAUAGCAUGAAAAUCAAACAAGAAAAAUUCAUUUUCUCCCAUAACCCAUCAUUGGCUGAAUUUUCCAUGUAGAGUGUGGAUGAUGAUUUUGAUUUUAUUUCCAGUGAAUUGGUUAGGAAAUGAUGAAUUAUGGUGAGAAAAUCAAGUAGGAAAAAUCAUAAUGUUGAUGCACCCACCAUGGCCGAAUUUUUCAAGAGAAAAUGUGAAGAUGAUUUUGCUAGAUUUUAUGCUAUUUGACUUGUGUUUGAUGAUUUGGAGUAUUGAGAGAAAAAUGAAAUUAUUUGGAGUGAAAUUGGACAUAUUGGCCAAUUAAUCGAGAGAUAGAUCAAAUUAGAUCAAUACCGUUUUAUUUAGAUACACAAUUGAAUUUAUGUAGAGUACUGUGUUUGGACGAUAAUCCGAACAAUUUGCAUCCCAUUUCAUGCAUUAGUAAAGAGCCUGAAAUAGAUUUAUAAUGGUAUGACACAGUAUAUUAAAUUAUGUGUCGUGUAUUGUGUAUAGGUGUUGAGCCUUCUAACAAGGGUAAAGACGUUGUGUUAGAGGAUUGAGAAUAGGAGUAAUUCAAACUCCUUAUACAAUAAGUAACCUUACUAUCAUCUUAAUUAUCUGAAGUGGUUUUUAUCCGAUUUUGUGAUUUUAUGAAAAAUGAGUUUAAAUGGUAAAUCUUUAUGUUUUAUAAGUAAAAUGUGUUUAAAUGAAAUGAUUUUUUAAAAUUAUCUUGAAAUUGAAUAAUGGCUUUGAAAAUAGAGUAAUUGGAGACCAUUUGAUGUAUUGUGAAUUUAUGGUUCUAAUUGAUUGGCUUAUGACAAUAUUAGCAUGAAUGGCUGAAUUGGUAUUUGUGUUGAAAUGUAUAAACUGUUGUUUACCUUGAUAGGCUGGAUAAUAAUAAAAUUGUCAUAUCAUGCUGUUGAAUUUUUAUUGUAUGGUGGGUUUAGCUUGCUAUAGUGGGCUGGUUCUGUGGACCAACCUAUUAGAGGGGCACGAAACCUGGUCAUAUAUAUGUACCUCGAUUAGAGAGGCGCGUAGGGUAACUCUCGAGGUCAAACUUUAGAGUUCACUUCACGCCCAACCACCACGUGAGGGGAACUCGACCAACGUCAAUGAAUGGCUAUGUUUUCAAAAUAAAAACAUGAUUUAUGCGCACAUAACUUUUUAACAGCUUUGGUGGACUCGGUUGGGAUAGCCCUCAAUCAAGGCAUCCCUGAUAACUGAGUAUGAAAAUGAUUUUGGCAAGAGCCAAAGUUUUAAGAAAUUCAUAAGCCAUGUUGAUUACUCGAUUUAUGUGAAUUGAUUUUAUUUGGUUGAAACAAGUUGAAAGGUGAUGAAUUACAGUAUGUUGAACUAUUUUAUCUGUCUCCAUUUACUCGGCUUUAGAUAUUUUAGAUGAUAUUUGUUUACUCACUGAGAUUAUAUAAUCUCACCACCCUCCUUUCCACCCAUUUCAGGUUCAAGAUAGUCUAUGGAUAGCUGAUUUCAUCAAGGACCACCAUUGGAUUUGCAUCCUCCAAACUGUAGGUUCACAAUUUUUCUUACUUUCGGUUAUUCGAGAGCUCACUUGUUACUGUAAAUUAAAUUAAAUACUCUGGCUUACUGUAUUACGAUAUAUAUGAAUUUAUUUUGCUUUUACGUUGUAAAAAAUUAUUUAUGCAGUAUUCUAAAAAUAUUGUUUUAUGAGAAAAUUGAAUAUUUUAUUGAAUAUUUUUAUUUUAUUCUAAUAGUCAUAAUUUCAUUUUAAACGAAUGUUUUAGACAUCCAAAUUUAUUUUUGAUUAUGAAAUAUGUGUUUUGCACUAGCAUACUACAUUUUUAACGGAUUUCGAGAUUUAUGAGAAAAAAUGACCAAAAUGCCCCUAUGAGAAAAAAAUUGUUUUUCUAUUGUUUUGAUUUGGAAAAUGUUUAUGAUCUCUCAAAACAUAAUUUUAGUGACUAAUACUCAUAGGGGAAGGGAGAAAAAUUGAUGUUAAGCCUUGCGAGGUUUCGAUUGACAUUCCGGGUAAAGAAUGUCUAUCGGGACGUCGCGACGAUUGUCACGGGCCCGAUGAGAGUUCCGGAUCGUGACAUGAUAACUUGAAACAAAACGUACAGUUAGUUAUCUAUAGAGAGAUGAACCCAAAUCAUGCAAUUUAUUGCAAUUUUAAAAAAUUUUACUAACUAAAUUAAUGAUAUUGUGUUAUUGUUUGAUUAUGCAAUUGAGUACAUCUUCAAUGGUGACAUUUGAUGUAACUACAUGAACGAGGCUAAAUUAAUUUUCAGUGCCUUCCUUUCUGCUAUUUGUCAUAAACUCCAAGAAAUAUAUAUAUAUAUAUAUAUAUACACACACACACAUAUACACACACACACACACACACACACACACACACACGUAUAUACAUAUGUUUAUGAGUUCAAUUCCAAAAAUUAUUUGUUCUCGUAAUUUCUUUUUUUUUUAAAGACAAUCCCAAUAAAAACAGCAACAUAAGUUAUGUAUGUAUAGUCUAGUGUUCAAUGGCAUGUAAAUUUAUUGGUUCAUUAGAUUACAUAGAGAUAAGAUUUAUAUCUCUUAAUUAUAAGUUUUUGUUUUAAUCUUUCAAAUUCAGACAUGGGGAAUGAUGAAAAAUAUUUAAAUAUUAAUCAAAUUUAUAAGUUAUAAUUGGGCUAUCCAUUGAGGUUUAUUGGUCUAGAAUGCACUGGAUCUCUUAAUCUUAGUUUUUUUUUUUUAAUUUUGUCCCUAUUUUUUUAUUUUUUCUUUUCUUUUUGCCCUCCCCUUGCCACCACAGCACAAGGAUGAAAAUGCCCGGGCAUAGUAACCACAAAACUUAUUCUAUAAUCCAGUUUAUUUUAUUUUAUUUUAUACAUUUAAUAUAUUUCAGUUUUUUAAUAUAACAAAUAGAAGUUGAAUGCAAGCUAAAAAACGUUUGACAUCGUUUUGUCACUUUGUUGUCCUUUUGAUUCUUCCUAAGUAAUAGACUUUUAAUUCCUUCUUCAUUUGUUUAAAUCUCACCUUUUUCUUUUUGUUUUAUCACAACUAUUUUAUCUUAAUAUGACAAUAAUUUAUUACAUAAAUUUAAUAACAAAACCUAUAAAUUCAUAAAUAAAUCAAUCAAAAUAAGAUAUUUUUAAAAUAUAAUCAAUAAAGAGUAAAUUCUACAUAGAUAUCUUGUGAUAUAACAUUUUUUCACAUAACACUUUAAGGGGUUUUUUUUCGUAUAAAAUUAUAUUUCACUUUUAUAUUCAAAUGAGUGAACAGUGUUAUAUUUUCAAUUAAUUUUUUUAAAAAAGGCAAUAAUAGGUUUCUUUUAUAAUUCUUUUAUUUUUUUGUUCAUUUAGUUAAAAAAAAUUGGACCAUUUUUGGGAUUUCUUUUAUAAUCCUUUUAUCCUCACUCAAAUCUUUCUGUUUGAGACUCAAAAACUUAAUAGGGGUUAAAUAACAUUGAUUAUGUCUUCUUUCCUCAAGUUUCUCAAGCAAAAUACAUAAGUCCCUAGUUUAAUAUUUUUGUCUUGACAUGUUCCUCACAUAAAUUUUAUUUUAUUUUUUUGGCUAUAAAAUUUGGCCUAGGUGGCAAUUGCCAAUUUUUCUGCUUUCAUUUGUUUUUUAAAUCCUCAGUUGAGGAAAAAAUCCUGGGGAAAUAUAUGCUUCAAUUGACGAUCUAUAAAAGGCAGUACACAUAUUUUUUCAACAAAAAGAACUUUUGCUGCACAAAGCCAAAGCUACAUAUUUCCAAACCUUCCCAAGCCAAGCAACAGACAUUGUACAAUCGCCAAGUCCAGAAGCUAAACAACUAGUUGCAAGCAUCUAAAGCUCAUUACCAAAAACUUGUGCUUGUCAAAAGCAUUAAGCCAGCUUUAGCAAACACUAAACAAAACAAGCACUGCCAACCAUUUCACCUGACUUUAACCAAUUCAACAUCAAAAACCAGCCACGAGUCCGGUGGAAUAUUCUCACUAGCCCCUUCAUUUCUAUAACUGCAAAACAAACCCAAGUACAUCAUUGAAGGAACUGGACCAGGCCAAGAGUAAAAACAUAAUAGAGAAAUGAGCUUGGUGUAUUUAACCAAAUUGAAUUGCAUACCUCAUUGAUGGUGGAACAGUGAGUCUACGUUUGCCACCAACUCGCAUACCUAAAAAUCACAAUACAUUACACUCAUAAGGAACAAAAUUCUAGGAAAAUAGAAAUUCAAUUUGUUAAUGGAUAAAAAUUACUUAUGAAAAAAAAAUCAAAGCUCAUACCAUCAAUGCCAACAUUCCAUACCUCUGGAACUUCUUCCCCACCUGCAAAAGCAACAUAGUUAAAAGUCCUAACUUAAAAAGUUAGUAAAACAAAUACAUAUUUGCAAAGAGCAGCAUUUAAAUCAAAAACUUGCCCACACUCUCUAAUAACCAGUCUCCCUAGAAUGUGUAGGCACAUUUGUUCAUAAAAACUAUGCAAUAUGAUAAGAAACUGAAUAGAUAAUACCUUUUUGAAUUAGGCAAUGACCAAAAAACCACUGUGCUAGUAAAGUAUAAUUUAACCAAAGAUGCCUACCAAGCCGAAACUUUAACAGAGCUUUUCCAGCGCUUGAAUAAAAUACUUCUCCACUCUCCUUCAACUUUCCAGUGUAACGGACACGAACCUAACACAAAGAGUAUCGUUUUCAAUCAAAACUCUUUAAAUAAUUUCCUUUAGUUCAACAUGGCAGAACUUACAAGGAGAGAAUAUGCAUAGUCAUUACAAAAUGGACAAAAUAGUAAAUCAAGACCACAUGCCUUUUUACCAAGAGAAGCUAGUUUGCGAUCUGGUUUCCCCAUUUCUAACUCUUCAAUGAUCAUUCCAUUUGACAGCUGAAUUGCCUCGUAAUUAGCAUUCUCACCAUCCAUGUCCAUAACAGAUCUAUCCUUUUCAAUGCCUGAUAAGAGAGGUGCUUCCAUCUUCAUGGCAUCCCCAUUGUCCUUAUUCUUGCGCCUUUUCUUCCUUUUCCUCCUCCUAGAUUGAUUUUAUAAAAGAAAUUGAUCAGUAUCACUGUUAAAACACCUGCAAAUAGCUAAUGGCUAAGAUUUGCCAUUACAAGACUAGAACUAGAAUAAAAAGUCUUGCAGGCAAAUUCAACUCAUGCACCCAAGGUAGAUGUGUCAUGUAUAGAAAAUGAAAAAGACUGCAAUUGCACACAUGGCCAUUCACAAGUCAAGCAAGUCAACACUUACUUUUCAUUAACUUGGCUUUGAGUUUCCUUAUCCUCCACAUAUACAUCCAGGGUUACGGCAUCCAAAUUUGAACCGUUUUUCUGGCCUUUAUCUUCUUCAGCAACAUUGUCUUCAAAUGUUUUCUCUUCUACCUGUUCUUUUCUUUUCCUCAUUGGCUUUGCUCCAUCUUCAAGAGCCACUUCAGUGGAAGCUAGCAAGAGACUAUGUUGAAAGUUCUCUUCCCUACAAUAACAUAUUGUAUAGUGAUUGUUAAAACAAGAAUGAUUCCUUAAAAAACAUAUAACUAAGAUGAGGACAAACAUGGAAGCACAAAGUUUAUUAAACAGCAAAAUCUUUAAGCAAAGUAUCACUCACUCAUUACAGGCAGGCUUUUGAUUUUGCUCCAAUACCGCUUUUCCAGUCAUGCCAUGAUCAGCUUCAGGAAAUUGUUCCUCUACGAGCUCUUCUCUUUUCCUCUUCGGCAUACCAUCAUCAACACCAAGCACAAGCUUUUGUGUUUCUUCAUUCCUGACACCUGAUUCACUGUAAGCCAGCACGAAUAAAUUAAAGUUAAACCAAAUCCACUGCAACCCAGGAAUGAUCGAUGAAGCAAACAAACAUAAUAAUAGUUGGCACCUCAAGGUCCUCUUCUCGAUAUAGUUUGUUAAGCUAUUGCAUUGUAUUUCUUUAUCAUUUGAUAGGCUUGUCUGUUUCUUUUAAGUCACACAACAAACCUAGCUACAUAUCAAGCUGAAAACCUAGUGCAGCAUGAGUCCCUUCUGACAUUGUAACAUUAUCUUCAAUCUCAUUUUAUCUAUUUCCUUGCUAGCUUUUUCCUCCAUGUUGACUUUUCAACUAUUAAAUGCACAAAUCAUUAAACAACAAAAUUUUUAAGCAAAAUAUCACUCACUCAUCACUGGCAAGCUUCUGAUUUUGCUCAUUUUGUUCCAAUAUUGCUUUUCCAGUCAUGCCAUGAUCAGCUUCAGGAAAUCUUUCCUCCUUGACCAGCACUUCUCCUUUCUUCUUUGGCAUACCAUCAUCAACACCAAGCACAAGCUUUUGUGUUUCUUCAUUCGGGACAACUGAUUCACUGUAAGCCAGUACGAAUAAAUUAAAGUUAAACCAAAUCAACUGCAAGCCAGAAAUGAUUGAUGAAGCAAACAAACAUAAUAAUAGUUGGCACCUCAAGGUCCUCUUCUCGAUAUAGUUUGUUAAGCUAUUGCAUUGUAUUCCUUUAUCAACUAAUAGGCUUCUCUUUUCUUUUAAUUAGUCCCUUCUGACAUUGUAACAUUAUCUUGAGUCUCAUUUCAUCUAUUUCCUUCUCAGCUUUUUCCCUCCACAUCAUUUUCCAUUAUCCAAUGCAUAAUUCAUUAAACAACAAAAUUUUUAAGCAAAAUAUCACUCACUCAUUCCUGGGCAGCUUCUGAUUUUGCUCAUUUUGUUCCAAUACUGCCUUUCCAGUCAUGCCAUGAUCAGCUUCAGGAAAUCUUUCCUCCUUGACCAGCACUGCUCUUUUCUUCUUUGACAUACCAUCAUCAACACCAAGCACAAGCUUUUGUGUUUCUUCAUUCGGGACAACUGAUUCACUGUAAGCCAGUAAGAAUAAAUUAAAGUUAAACCAAAUCAACUGCAAGCCAGAAAUGAUUGAUGAAGCAAACAAACAUAAUAAUAGUUGGCACCUCAAGGUCCUCUUCUCAAUAUAGUUUGUUAAGCUAUUGCAUUGUAUUCCUUUAUCAACUAAUAGGCUUUUCUGUUUCUUUUAAUUAGUCCCUUCUGACAUUGUAACAUUAUCUUGAGUCUCAUUCUAUCUAUUUCCUUCCUAACUUUUUCCUCCACGUCAUUUUCCACUCUCUAAUGCUCAAUUCAUUAAACAAGAAAAUUUUUAAGCAAAAUAACACUCACUCAUUACUGGCCAACUUCUGAUUUUGCUCAUUUUGUUCCAAUACUGCUUUUCCAGUCAUGCCAUGAUCAUCUUCAGAAAAUCUUUCCUCCUUGACCAUCACUU
This 7420-nucleotide long non-coding RNA is filed under the name Theobroma cacao (cacao). RNAcentral describes it as "long non-coding RNA (TCAC_LNC004463)". The record is from RNAcentral. Lineage: Eukaryota; Viridiplantae; Streptophyta; Magnoliopsida; Malvales; Malvaceae.